UAGCGGAGGAAAAGAAACUAACAAGGAUUCCCCUAGUAACGGCGAGUGAAGCGGGAAGAGCUCAAAUUUGAAAUCUGGUAGCCUUCGGUUGCCCGAGUUGUAAUCUAGAGAAGUGUUUUCCGCGUUGGCCCAUGUACAAGUCCCUUGGAACAGGGCGUCAUAGAGGGUGAGAAUCCCGUCCUUGACAUGGACCCCCAAUGCUUUGUGAUACACUUUCAACGAGUCGAGUUGUUUGGGAAUGCAGCUCAAAAUGGGUGGUGAAUUCCAUCUAAAGCUAAAUAUUGGCGAGAGACCGAUAGCGAACAAGUACCGUGAGGGAAAGAUGAAAAGCACUUUGGAAAGAGAGUUAAACAGUACGUGAAAUUGUUGAAAGGGAAACGAUUGAAGUCAGUCAUGCUCUUUGGUUUAAGCCGUUCUGCGGUGUAUAUCAUUGAGUGGGGUCAACAUCAGUUUUGACCGCUGGAAAAGGGCAAGAGGAAGGUAGCACCCCCGGGUGAACUUAUAGCCUCUCGUCGUAUACAGUGGUUGGGACUGAGGAACGCAGCAUGCCUUUUGGCCGGGAUUCGUCCACGUACAUGCUUAGGAUGUUGACAUAAUGGCUUUAAACGACCCGUCUUGA
Molecule: small RNA, 619 nt
Filed under: Cryptococcus sp. R133
Lineage: Eukaryota; Fungi; Basidiomycota; Tremellomycetes; Tremellales; Cryptococcaceae
Description: eukaryotic LSU rRNA
Rfam family: Eukaryotic large subunit ribosomal RNA
Source: RNAcentral